AGAGUUUGAUCCUGGCUCAGGACGAACGCUGGCGGCGCGCCUAACACAUGCAAGUCGAACGAGCGAGAGAGAGCUUGCUUUCUCGAGCGAGUGGCGAACGGGUGAGUAACGCGUGAGGAACCUGCCUCAAAGAGGGGGACAACAGUUGGAAACGACUGCUAAUACCGCAUAAGCCCACAGCUCGGCAUCGAGCAGAGGGAAAAGGAGCAAUCCGCUUUGAGACGGCCUCGCGUCCGAUUAGCUGGUUGGUGAGGUAACGGCCCACCAAGGCGACGAUCGGUAGCCGGACUGAGAGGUUGAACGGCCACAUUGGGACUGAGACACGGCCCAGACUCCUACGGGAGGCAGCAGUGGGGAAUAUUGCACAAUGGGGGAAACCCUGAUGCAGCGACGCCGCGUGGAGGAAGAAGGUCUUCGGAUUGUAAACUCCUGUUGUUGAGGAAGAUAAUGACGGUACUCAACAAGGAAGUGACGGCUAACUACGUGCCAGCAGCCGCGGUAAAACGUAGGUCACAAGCGUUGUCCGGAAUUACUGGGUGUAAAGGGAGCGCAGGCGGGAAGACAAGUUGGAAGUGAAAUCUAUGGGCUCAACCCAUAAACUGCUUUCAAAACUGUUCUUCUUGAGUAGUGCAGAGGUAGGCGGAAUUCCCCGGUGUAGCGGUGGAAUGCGUAGAUAUCGGGAGGAACACCAGUGGCGAAGGCGGCCUACUGGGCACCAACUGACGCUGAGGCUCGAAAGUGUGGGUAGCAAACAGGAUUAGAUACCCUGGUAGUCCACACCGUAAACGAUGAUUACUAGGUGUUGGAGGAUUGACCCCUUCAGUGCCGCAGUUAACACAAUAAGUAAUCCACCUGGGGAGUACGACCGCAAGGUUGAAACUCAAAGGAAUUGACGGGGGCCCGCACAAGCAGUGGAGUAUGUGGUUUAAUUCGACGCAACGCGAAGAACCUUACCAAGUCUUGACAUCCUGCGACGGACAUAGAAAUAUGUCUUUCCUUCGGGACGCAGAGUCAGGUGGUGCAUGGUUGUCGUCAGCUCGUGUCGUGAGAUGUUGGGUUAAGUCCCGCAACGAGCGCAACCCUUACUGUCAGUUACUACGCAAGAGGACUCUGGCAGGACUGCCGUUGACAAAACGGAGGAAGGUGGGGAUGACGUCAAAUCAUCAUGCCCUUUAUGACUUGGGCUACACACGUACUACAAUGGCGUUAAACAAAGAGAAGCAAGACCGCGAGGUGGAGCAAAACUCAGAAACAACGUCCCAGUUCGGAAUGCAGGCUGCGACUCGCCUGCACGAAGUCGGAAUUGCUAGUAAUCGUGGAUCAGCAUGCCACGUGAUACAUUCCCGGGGGGUACACACCGCCCGUCA
This 1367-nucleotide ribosomal RNA is filed under the name uncultured bacterium. Its description in RNAcentral is "16S ribosomal RNA". It matches the Rfam family "Bacterial small subunit ribosomal RNA". The record is from RNAcentral.